Molecule: long non-coding RNA, 7042 nt
Organism: Cygnus olor (mute swan)
Lineage: Eukaryota; Metazoa; Chordata; Aves; Anseriformes; Anatidae
Exons: 15
Source: RefSeq, a predicted model, not a curated record
CUUUGGCUGAGUCAGAAGUUCACCUUCAUUUUCACCUCAGUGAUCCCACCUUUGUACCUGGCCAUCUGAUUUCAAGUCAGGGCCACACUGCAAGAGUAAAGAACGUUCCCCUUCAGCUGGACUCUCUGUGCCCGGAGGGAGAGCUUCAAGCAGAGUUUCCUGUGGCAGUGUGGAGAAAUGGGGUUGUUACUGAAGCGCGCUAAAGCUUUUUUGUACCAUGUCCUGCAACAUUCCCUCAGCUGAAUCUCUUGGGCAGAGAAAGAGUAUGUACCUGUGCCCCUAUAACAUGGCCUUGGGCAGCAGAAGGGUUUAUACAUCCCAUAUGGAGCUUUAUGACUUCAGUUUGAUACUACGCUGGACCUCAUAAGCAUACCUCACACAGUGUGUGCACCUUUUCCACUUGGCAUAUGCCUGGUUGGCUUCUCAGAGGGAGCAGUGCACUUCCCUCCUCACCCAGCGGAUGCUGUGCUGCUACCUUUGGUGCCAUCCUCAAACCCUGCUCUGAACACGAACUCCGCAUUUCCUCAUAGACUUCUCAGAGAUCUGUUGACACUGUCCUAUUCAAGCAGAUGGAAAAAAUGAUGGCUGUGACAGAAAGGACAAGCUUCUUUCAAGUCUUUUUUUUUUCAAUAAGGUGGAAUGGCUGUACUACAGUCUCAAGACUGUUUUGAAUUGUCCUGAAUGACCUAGUCAGCAGAGCGAAAGCGAAGUCCUCUUUGGCUGCAGAAAAGAAAAGAAGUGAAGGCCCACUUCCUCUGGAUGGGAAGACAGAUGAUCAAGUGACAUCUGCACUAAGUCUAGCAGUUCUCACUCAGAGGAUUCUUUUGGUGCCUUAUCCUUCCUGGAUGAUGUAAAGAUUCUACAGAGAGUGCUAAGAACUUCAAGCAGGGAAGGAAAAAAAGGCACAAACUUAGACUUGGGCAACACCACAGAAGAGGUCACUAGCAGAGCCAGCAAUACUGCUGAGUCCUCUUCAUUAUCAAGCCAGUAGACCAUCUAGGGAUUUGAAUCUGAUUCUUCUGGCACUCAAGAUCGCUGGGGUACAUGCUGCAGAGAACUUGGAGAUGACCGUCAAGCACUACAGUAACUGUUGCACUACAGUUGGGCAUCCAAAAGGAGCAGAGUGUUAGAAAUUAGCUCAACGAGAAGCUAUGGUUUUGAUGCAGGAAUAUUAAGUGAAAUUCUGUAGAUGACUUGUGAAGAGCCAACAGGAACCACCUGUGUAACAUGCAUAGCCUACCCAGCAGCAGUGUUGUUGUCCUGGAGAACUUCUGGAGAAACUGUGAUAGAAGAGGCCUAACAAAGUGUGCUUGGCACAGAGAGAAGGAAGAGUACUCUGCAUCUUACAAGUCCCUCCCCUGAGGACAUUCUCCCAGCACAACAGAAGCCAGUAUAGAGUAAGAUGGAGAGCCACGAGCACAGUGUUGCAGCUGGUGCUUGAACUGCCUGUGGAAGUCCCUCAUGGUGAUAAAAAGGAAUGAGUGACCCUUGUUGCAAGUCUGGGUAUUUUGGACUGGGACUGGAAGAGCAAACGUGAGCUUAUGGAAAACCAGAACAUACUACGUGUUCUUCUGAUACAUGUAUGUACUGCAGGACUGCAAAUAUGUGAAGUUUUCAUUAAGAGGAAAGUAUUAUUAAAAGCAGACAUGAUGAGCUCUCCACCUAGAUUCUGGAUUUCUGCUUUAACUUGACUGCAGAUUUUAAGCUGAUGGGAGUAUAGCUUGAUCUGUUCCAGAUGUUAUAAAAAUAAGUUGUAUCUAUGAAAAUAAAAGUGAGGGGAAGAGUGGGUGUGAAAGACUGACUAUACCAUGCUACUCUGGACUUAAAAGCCAGUCACAAAUGACUAGUUUCUUCAACACUGAAGUAAUACUUCAGCUCAACUAAAAUCAGCACUUACUGUGUUUGAUGCAUAUAAAGCGAGCACCCUUGCUAAAUUCAGCUCUGCACUUCAGCCUUUUUGAUAGGAAGAUUUUUAGUUUUAUUAUGUAAACAUUUAAUUCCUGAAGGCUUCAUGGCAAUUUACAAGAUCUGCAGUGGACAAAGGAAGUGGGCAACAUGGAAAAUCACUAAACUUCUUUGCUCAGAUGAGGAGACCCUUUUCUUUGAAAUCCCAACUAAAGACAAAGCCUAAACCCCACAGAAGAAGGAUGUAACCACAGCUGCUUCAUGCUACGAUGGACUUAGUCUGCCUCCCACUUCAGGGUGCACCGUUUCAGAUGAAAUUUUUGAAGGUCUGACUGUUCAUUCAAAACUAUAGGACUAUGCAUUUAAAAAUCAAGGCGAUAGACAAAUAAACCUUUUACUACGGGCAGCACAUUUUUAUCACUUAUACCUGAAGAGGACUCGGUAGAGUUCCUCAAGAAAUUAGGUUAGGGUGAACAUAACAGUAGAUUGUACAGGUGAAUCCCCCUUGCCAUUUUAUUAAGGCUCUGGGUAGGGGAGGAAGGAAAGUUCCAUUUUCACUUGCCAUGUAGCCCAGUCUCAGUUUACAGGUUUGCAAAAUUAGGAGAAAAAUAUUCUUCUUGCUAGGAAACCUGCUAGCAUAACUGACUAAAGACACACUCAGCAUUUACAGAUGUAAUGGCUGAAGCAUUUCCACUCAUUAACAAAAUAAAUGCAAUACAAGUAAAAGCACAGCCAGAUGAGAAAAGGCCAAUGUGAAGAAGUACUAAUCAGUAUGAGGAAAAGGACUGUAAAGUCUUUGAAUUAAAUAAUAUUGUGUAGCUUUUGCAAGUGAGGGAAUUAAGAUUUAAAACAAUACUUGCCUUAUGGGUACCCAUGAAUGGGUCAGGGAAGUCCCAGGAACUGCAAACACAACAUAGGUAUUACUAACUGUUCUAGCAUUCUAGAAAUUCAGAUGAGUUUAUGAAGACAGAAGUUUCUCUUUCCUCUUUUUUUUUUUGCCUCAGAGAUUCAAAAAGGAGAGGAGGUCCAAAAGCGUAGACUUUUCUGGUAGUGAGAGCUUGGUGACAUGUAUGUAGCAAAUACCGUAUUUGUAGAUGAGUGUAAUGUGGGCUGGUAUGGCUCUGACUUGUUUUUAUUGAAUUAAGUGUGCAUAAGUCACUCACAGACCGUGAUGGAGUGCUGCCCUUGAGAAUCUCUGUGGAAAUGUCUCAGUUCAAAAAGGUGUCUGCUGAGUGCCAAUAAACACUAUCAAUUCAUAAUCAAUUUCAAAGCAUACUGACUAAAACAAAGAAAUGAGUAACCAUCAACAUGACUUCUAGGACAAAUAUUGUCAGACCCCAUGUAAAACAAGAUUUUAUAGCCUUUAGGAAGAUGGGAAAGAUAAAUACCAUGUAUUUUUAGUUCAUUUAGGCUUCUGAAAUUGUCUCCUGUUGUAUUUUCACAAACUACCUAAAGAAUAUAUGGCCUAGACAAAAAUCACUGCAAGAGAUGGGAAACUGCUAGAAGAGCAUCCUCUAAGACAGCUUGGUUAUCGAAUGACAACUGUCACAAUAGAGGGCAACACAGAAAAAAAAUAACCUGGUUUUGCUGGAAUCUGUCCUGAUUUCUGCACUGCUCAGUUCUUUAUUUACUGCUUGACUAAAGGAAAAAAGAGAAUGCUUACUUCACUUAAACUUAACAGUGAUUGGAAGGUUAAUAUAUAUAGGUUAAUAUAUAUAUAUAUAGGUUAAUAUAUAUAUAUAUAGGUUGGGAGGCCAGGUUUCUAAUUAUCGUAAGUAUUGAAGAAAAUUUAGCUAUAACUAUAAAUAAAGAGAAUGUCCACUCAGGUAGGAAAAUUAUAAAAUACGCAGAUGUAAAAGUGUAAUGUCAGUCUCUACAAACCAUUACAAGAAGCAAUUCGGAGUUCUAGUGGCUCACAAAUUGCUCAAGUAUCUGAACUAGCAUGCUGUAGAAGAAGAAGCAACGGCAAACUGGUAUGUACAGAGAAGUAACUUCUGCUCUUCUGUGCAGUGAUGAGGUCUCUGCAGGUAAGUCUGACAAAGAAAACGUUCCUGGAAAGACUUUAUGAAAGACCAAGCACCAUCAUAGUAGAUUAGAUUUGGCUUUGUUUCCUAAAGGUUCAGCUUUUUAUGGUAGCAUAAGGCUCUGUGAAAGCCUUGCCAUGGGAAUUCCUACAAUGGCAGUCACUGGCUUACAUGACACAACAGGAUUCUAUGGUGCUUACACUCAUACAGUUACAUGGUCCAUCAACAAUGACAUCUCACCUAAUGCACAUGUUUUAUGUCAAAGCCAUCUGUUCCGGCAAAGUGGCCACCUCGUGUUCCAAGGAGCAUCAGAAAGUGACUUAGAAUUUCUGGACAAACCUGAACUGGAUUAACCAUCUCAACUCAACAGCACUAGCACUGAAGAAAUGGUUUUGACCAAAAAAAAAAAAAAAAUAGGAGUCAUACUAAACAUAGAAACAGCUCAAAAGUCCUGACUUUUCCUUUGAGUUAAAUGGGUAGAAGGCCAACUAUUACUUCUCUCUUUUCCUAGACCUGUGUAGAAUGAUAAUACAACUGUGGCUAAAGUAGUGUUGAAAAUAAAAGCGAGAGUAAUAGGCCAUAGGAGUAGUAAAAUCCUUUAUAGCACUGUGGUACUUGAAUGAGAAGUGGAAAGUACUGUGAUUUGCAGCAAUUUACCUAUCAGUACAAGUUUAUGUCAGCCCCUUUGUUUCUUUUUCUGCUCUGGGGCAUCUCCUACUGUGAUUUUCUUAUGUAGGUCAUCCCUCUCCCCAAACCUGUUUUGCUUUCACUAGCCUUACAAAAUAAAUAAAGCUGUUAUUUAGAAGGUUUGGCUCUAAGAGAAACCCAGUCAUGUCUUUUUGUUGCUCAUAUUUCUUGUAUUUUGCCAUUUGUGACCAAUCGAAAAUCUAUUCAGGAUUUUGCAGACAAUGCAGCAGCGUUUUUAUUUUCCAAAGGUCUUUAGUGUCUGCCAAAUACGAUGUUGAUUGCAAUGUCUAAAAUUGACUGUAUUUCACUAAUACCAUGGUGACUUGUUUUCAUUGCUAAAAAAAAAAAAAAUACCAUCUUCUGAAAAUUUCACAAAACAUCAUUAAAACUCUGUGGGGUUAUUUGUAGUUGGUCUUUGGUGCCGUGCUUAUCAAGCAGGGAUUCUGGUCUGUGGGACACAGACCUCUCCCAUCUCUCCCACCUGCUUUCAAGUGGCCUUGUGGCUGGCCAUCAGCCUGCAAAAGCCGUUAGUCAGGAACAGGCACAUAAGUGGUAGGUGCCUGUUCCUGACCUCCCCACACUUUUCCUGAAGCAGGCCGUUUCUGACCCUGAGAAAUACUAUGUGACUGCAUAACAACAAACCAAGUCCCCUGCAUUUGCAUAACUGUUGUGACAAAAGUUUGAUACUAUUAAAACACAGGUUAGACAUUUUCUUAAUGAUCCAUUGUGUUUUGUUCCUCUCUGCUUUGAGUAAUGAAGUAGGAAUACAAAUAUUUAAACAAGAAAAGGACAAAACGCUCUUGUUUGUAGCUCAUGUAUCUUACUUUGUCAGCUGUAUAAAUGUAGAAAAAUCCAGGCAUUGAAACUUGGCUGCAGGGUCAAAGGUGGACGUGACACUAUUGUGAAGUAACUGUCACUGGAAGCACAGUUCCUGGUCUCCCAUCUUAAAAAGUACAUGGCUUAAAAACAAAGCAUUUUUUGCCUCAAAAUGUGGUCUUUUAUAUGGUAGACUGCUGCACUAUAAGCCUGAUAAUGCUACUUUUGAAACAGAGCUAUCCUGGCAUAGUUAAUAGGGAAGAAAUGCUGAUAUUACUCGAAUAGUUACUGAACAUUAAGUUACCUGUAAAAGAUGCCUCUUAAUGUGAAACUACAUCUUAAAAAUAGUGUGGAAGAGAUGAGAACAUAAGGCAGAACGAGUGGGAAGAGAAAAGAAAGUAUGUCAGGAGUCUGAAGGAGUCUGUCAGUCUUAGGAGGCUGAAGGGGAAAAAACAGCUGAAAGCCUCACUACAAGUUCCUAAAUCAGAAGUGUGACAAAACUAAUCACAGCGACAACAGAAUGUGGAAGGCAGCACAUCAAAGGGAAAAGUCUGAUGUGAAUGUAUAUACACUAGUUAACUUGUGCAAUAACCAGAGAAGUGUAUGUUUACAUACAAUCUAUACAGAUGAAAAGCUAAGAAUUGCAAACUCCUUCCAUAAUUACAAUUGUACACACAGACACUCUUCCCCGUCAUCCUUAAAUCUCUAAGUCCAAAUCCAUACAGAAAUAUUAUCAGUACAAUGUGAGAGGGUAUCACAACACCACAAGCAAGUUAGUUCUGGAAUCUUAAACGAGCAUCAGUUAUAUGUUUCUCACCUCUUUCUUGUUCUCAUUAUCGCUUGGAUGUUUCUCCAAAUCUGUUUUCAAAUCCAGCUUUUCAAAGGACACUUUGAUUUUCAGUUUCUAAGAAAGUCAGCAGAUCUUAACAGUCAGGGGCUUUAACUUGGAUGUCUGUCAUUUUUAAUCACCUGUUACAUGUGUACCAUUACUGUUUUGCUGAUUACAUGAGACGUUGGUCAUUUGUCUCAUUACUCUCCCCUCUACUAUUUUCCAUGUCACAAAUAAAUUAUCCACAAACUUUAACAUAUAUAAAGUUUAAGAAACCAACAUGUUGGAUGGUUGUAUGCUUUAGUCAUUUCUAAAAUCCAAGCCAUUAUGGAAACUAAUUGGUUUGUAUGAAGAAACAACAUUAAAAAAAUGACAGCACAUAUUUAAAUAAACGCAGUUUCCUCACAGUCUGAUCUAGAUUGUGCAAACAAUGUGGACAAUGAAAAAGGGCAUUUUAAAUCUUUACAAAAGGACCAGACACAUUGCCCAUGAAACUUGGUACCUGAGCACCUGUCUGCAAAGUGGUGGUUAGGGUUGUAUCCUGUGAGAGCUCAAAGAGCAAACACAGAGGUGUUUGGCUAUGAGGAGCAUGUUUCAACCCUAAGAGCCCUGCAGCCCCGGGCCUGCAGUGUCUGAAAGCACAGAGGUGAGUUACGGCUGACUCAGACAGUUAGAGCUCUCUCUAACGACUCCCUCUGCAGAGUGGCCCAUCUGCUUCCCACUCUUGUGAACCAUGUGUUGAAUUUUCAAAAGGAGUGUCCUGGUUUCAGCUAGGAUAGAG